This 713-nucleotide long non-coding RNA is filed under the name Mytilus galloprovincialis (Mediterranean mussel). The record is from RNAcentral. Lineage: Eukaryota; Metazoa; Mollusca; Bivalvia; Mytilida; Mytilidae.
CGGGACCAAAGGUUAAGAAUCUACAUACACAGUCAUGACAGUUAGAUUCGGCAUAUCAAAGAACCCCAAUUAUUCAAUUUUGAUGAAAUCAAACAAAGUUUAAUUUUGGACCCUUUGGGCCCUUAUUCUGUUGGGACCAAAACUCCCAAAAUCAAUACCAACCUUCCUUUUAUGGUCAUAAACCUUGUGUUUAAAUUUCAUAGAUUUCUAUUUACUUAUACUAACGUUAUGGUGCGAAAACCAAGAAAAAUACUUAUUUGGGUCCCUUUUUGGCCCCUAAUUCCUAAACUGUUGGGACCUAAACUCCCAAAAUCAAUACCAACCUUCCUUUUGUAGUCAUUAACAUUGUGUUUAAAUUUCAUUGAUUUCUAUUUACUUAAACUAAAGUUAUUGUGCGAAAACCAAGAAUAAUGCUUAUUUGGGCCCUUUUUUUGGCCCCUAAUUCCUAAACUGUUGAAACCAAAACUCCCAAAAUCAAUCCCAACCGUUCUUUUGUGGUCAUAAACCUUGUGUCAAAAUUUCAUAGAUUUCUAUUAACUUAAACUAAAGUUAUAGUGCGAAAACCAAGAAAAAAUGCUUAUUUGGGCCCUUUUUGGCCCCUAAUUCCUAAAAUGUUGGGACCAAAACUCCAAAAUCAAUACCAACCUUCCUUUUGUGGUCAUAAACCUUGUGUUAAAAUUUCAUAGAUUUCCAUUCACUUUUACUAAAGUUAG